This 1188-nucleotide long non-coding RNA is filed under the name Anser brachyrhynchus (Pink-footed goose). RNAcentral describes it as "lncRNA (ENSABRG00000019102.1)". Lineage: Eukaryota; Metazoa; Chordata; Aves; Anseriformes; Anatidae. The record is from RNAcentral.
AUGCAAAUUCCUCCGCUGACUGACAGGUUUCAAACAGCCCAGCAAAAGCCAAUGCUGUUCUGCAAAAGCCGCCUCCUGCCAGAUUCCAGGAGCCUUUUCCAAAAUGUUUUGGCUAUGAGUACGCACAAGGACCCCGGAGGCUGCUGGGGGUGCCCAAGCUGCAGCGAAGCAACUUGCAAAGGAAGGGCUGAUUCCUCCCAUUCGGCUGAAAGAAUUGUUUCUGGAAGAAAACGGUGCAAAGGCCAGGGAAGGAUUAAGGACAAAUGAGGCCCUAGAUGGAGGCUCAGCAGCCGCUGCAUCCCACUGGCUGUGGUCCCGGCACCUCUCAGUGCAUUCGAUGGGGGGCUCUGCCCUGGCUGCCCGCACACCCCGAUGGGCUGCAGGAGCUGUUGAGUAAAACAGGGCAAAGCUGAUGUUUUUUUUUUUCCUUUUAAUACUGUUUUUAUUUCCAGCCAGACUCACUACUAGCAGGAUUCAGGCUAUUUAAAACUCUCUCUCCAUCCCGCAUUUGGGACACUCGUCUUCAGGCUGCCGAAGCUUUUAAGACAACACACAGCUGAGUUUCAAGCAGUGAGUUUGUCUGAGAGCACCUGAACAGAGCAACUCUCCAGAAGUGCACGUUUCUAACACAAAAUCACAUCCCUCUCCCCUACAAGAGCCUGCUACCUUCUCCUCACAGCGUCACAACCACCCUGUUCCUGGGCAAAAGCUUUAGCUGUGCUUUCCUCCACCCUGAAGGAGCCCGGCGUUGGCGCUACUUGCUCUAACGGGGGAUGCCUCCUCGUGCCCCACCGCGAGACCCUCUCCACCUCCUCGAGGGCCUUUUUAAGCACAGGCUACGCCCCUGCUUGCCCCUGCCUGCGCAUUACCGCCGGCGUUAAUUGGGAUCCGUCUCCUCUGCCUCCCCGCCAUCGGAGCCCCUUGCUGAACGCGGCGGCGGCGUGUGAAGCACACACCUUCCUAAUUGCGUUUAUUCACAGAUAUCAAAAGGAGAGGGAAGCAGUUGAGUAAAGGUCACAUUAAUAAUACAGGCUGAAAGCAAGUCUGGGGGUAUAUAUUUUUCAUUAGCGACACGUUUGACUGAAGGGGACGGUUCGUUUUCGGAUUGACAGUGUUUCUCUGGGAGGCCAUCAAUACAGUCGGAGAGAUUUCACUAUUUUUCUUGUCACAGCUCGCUGUCUGCUGGAA